AACGAACGCUGGCGGCAUGCCUAACACAUGCAAGUCGAACGAGACCUUCGGGUCUAGUGGCGCACGGGUGCGUAACGCGUGGGAACCUGCCCUUAGGUUCGGAAUAACUCCCCGAAAGGGGUGCUAAUACCGGAUAAUGUCUUCGGACCAAAGAUUUAUCGCCUUUGGAUGGGCCCGCGUUGGAUUAGCUAGUUGGUAGGGUAAAAGCCUACCAAGGCGACGAUCCAUAGCUGGUCUGAGAGGAUGAUCAGCCAGACUGGGACUGAGACACGGCCCAGACUCCUGCGGGAGGCAGCAGUGGGGAAUAUUGGACAAUGGGCGAAAGCCUGAUCCAGCAAUGCCGCGUGAGUGAUGAAGGCCUUAGGGUUGUAAAGCUCUUUUACCCGGGAUGAUAAUGACAGUACCGGGAGAAUAAGCUCCGGCUAACUCCGU
This 432-nucleotide ribosomal RNA is filed under the name uncultured bacterium. RNAcentral's name for it is "partial 16S ribosomal RNA". It matches the Rfam family "Bacterial small subunit ribosomal RNA", at positions 29 to 506 of the family's 1533-position model. The record is from RNAcentral.